GACGAACGCUGGCGGCGUGCUUAACACAUGCAAGUCGAACGGAAAGGCCCUGCUUGUGUGGGGUGCUCGAGGGGCGAACGCGUGAGUAACACGUGAGUAACCUUCCCUGGAGUUGGGGACAACUUGAGGAAACUGGGGCUAAUACCGGAUAGGAGCUGCUGCUGCAUGGUGGGGGUGGGAAAGUUUCGGCGGUUGGGGAUGGACUCGCGGCUUAUCAGCUUGUUGGUGGGGUACUGGCUAACCAAGGCUUUGACGGGUAGCCGGCAUGAGAGGGUGACCGGCCACAUUGGGACUGAGAUACGGCCCAGACUCCUACGGGAGGCAGCAGUGGGGAAUAUUGCACAAUGGGCGGAAGCCUGAUGCAGCAACGCCGCGUGCGGGAUGACGGCCUUCGGGUUGUAAACCGCUUUCGCCUGUGACGAAGCGUGAGUGACGGUAAUGGGUAAAGAAGCACCGGCUAACUACGUG
RNAcentral lists this ribosomal RNA (468 nucleotides) under uncultured bacterium. Its description in RNAcentral is "partial 16S ribosomal RNA". It matches the Rfam family "Bacterial small subunit ribosomal RNA", at positions 28 to 507 of the family's 1533-position model. The record is from RNAcentral.